AUUGAACGCUGGCGGCAGGCCUAACACAUGCAAGUCGAGCGGUUGAGGUAGCUUGCUACCGAUGCAGCGGCGAACGGGUGAGUAAUACAUGGGAAUCUGCCUGGUAGUGGGGGACAACGUUUCGAAAGGAACGCUAAUACCGCAUACGCCCUACGGGGGAAAGGGGGGGAUCGCAAGACCUCUCGCUAUCAGAUGAGCCCAUGUCAGAUUAGCUAGUUGGUGAGGUAAAGGCUCACCAAGGCGACGAUCUGUAACUGGUCUGAGAGGAUGAUCAGUCAAACUGGAACUGAGACACGGUCCAGACUCCUACGGGAGGCAGCAGUGGGGAAUAUUGGACAAUGGGGGCAACCCUGAUCCAGCCAUGCCGCGUGUGUGAGAAGGCCUUAGGGUUGUAAAGCACUUUCAGUGGGGAGAAAGGUGAUUCACCUAAUACGUGAGUCAAUUGAUGCUACCCACAGAAGAAGCACCGGCUAACUCCGUGCCAGCCGCCGCGGUAA
Molecule: ribosomal RNA, 497 nt
Filed under: uncultured bacterium
Lineage: Bacteria
Description: partial 16S ribosomal RNA
Rfam family: Bacterial small subunit ribosomal RNA
Source: RNAcentral